GGGCCGGCGGUGCUAUAAUGCAGUCGAGCGAUGGAUUAAGAGCUUGCUCUUAUGAAGUUAGCGGCGGACGGGUGAGUAACACGUGGGUAACCUGCCCAUAAGACUGGGAUAACUCCGGGAAACCGGGGCUAAUACCGGAUAACAUUUUGAACUGCAUGGUUCGAAAUUGAAAGGCGGCUUCGGCUGUCACUUAUGGAUGGACCCGCGUCGCAUUAGCUAGUUGGUGAGGUAACGGCUCACCAAGGCAACGAUGCGUAGCCGACCUGAGAGGGUGAUCGGCCACACUGGGACUGAGACACGGCCCAGACUCCUACGGGAGGCAGCAGUAGGGAAUCUUCCGCAAUGGACGAAAGUCUGACGGAGCAACGCCGCGUGAGUGAUGAAGGCUUUCGGGUCGUAAAACUCUGUUGUUAGGGAAGAACAAGUGCUAGUUGAAUAAGCUGGCACCUUGACGGUACCUAACCAGAAAGCCACGGCUAACUACGUGCCAGCAGCCGCGGUAAUACUUAGGUGGCAAGCGUUAUCCGGAAUUAUUGGGCGUAAAGCGCGCGCAGGUGGUUUCUUAAUUUGAUGUUAAAGCCCACGGCUCAACCCCGCGGGGGGCAUUGGUAAAUGGGUUACUUGCUCGCAUA
Molecule: ribosomal RNA, 632 nt
Filed under: Bacillus sp. (in: firmicutes)
Lineage: Bacteria; Bacillati; Bacillota; Bacilli; Caryophanales; Bacillaceae
Description: bacterial SSU rRNA
Rfam family: Bacterial small subunit ribosomal RNA
Source: RNAcentral